RNAcentral lists this ribosomal RNA (468 nucleotides) under uncultured bacterium. RNAcentral describes it as "partial 16S ribosomal RNA". It matches the Rfam family "Bacterial small subunit ribosomal RNA", at positions 28 to 507 of the family's 1533-position model. The record is from RNAcentral.
GACGAACGCUGGCGGCGUGCUUAACACAUGCAAGUCGAACGGAAAGGCCCUGCUUUUGUGGGGUGCUCGAGUGGCGAACGGGUGAGUAACACGUGAGUAACCUGCCCUUGACUUUGGGAUAACUUCAGGAAACUGGGGCUAAUACCGGAUAGGAGCUCCUGCUGCAUGGUGGGGGUUGGAAAGUUUCGGCGGUUGGGGAUGGACUCGCGGCUUAUCAGCUUGUUGGUGGGGUAGUGGCUUACCAAGGCUUUGACGGGUAGCCGGCCUGAGAGGGUGACCGGCCACAUUGGGACUGAGAGACGGCCCAGACUCCUACGGGAGGCAGCAGUGGGGAAUAUUGCACAAUGGGCGGAAGCCGGAGGCAGCAACGCCGCGUGCGGGAUGACGGCCUUCGGGUUGUAAACCGCUUUCGCCUGUGACGAAGCGUGAGUGACGGUAAUGGGUAAAGAAGCACCGGCUAACUACGUG